UACGUAGGGGGCGAGCGUUGUCCGGAUUCAUUGGGCGUAAAGCGCGCGUAGGCGGCUCCGCAAGUCGGCCGUGAAAUCUCCGGGCUCAACUCGGAGGGGUCGGGCGAGACUGCGAGGCUCGAGGUGGGCAGAGGGCAGUGGAAUUCCGGGUGUAGUGGUGGAAUGCGUAGAGAUCCGGAGGAACACCAGUGGCGAAGGCGGCUGCCUGGGCCUGGCCUGACGCUGAGGCGCGAAAGCGUGGGGAGCAAUCCGG
This 253-nucleotide ribosomal RNA is filed under the name uncultured bacterium. RNAcentral's name for it is "partial 16S ribosomal RNA". It matches the Rfam family "Bacterial small subunit ribosomal RNA", at positions 524 to 776 of the family's 1533-position model. The record is from RNAcentral.